This 685-nucleotide ribosomal RNA is filed under the name uncultured bacterium. RNAcentral's name for it is "bacterial SSU rRNA". It matches the Rfam family "Bacterial small subunit ribosomal RNA", at positions 73 to 732 of the family's 1533-position model. The record is from RNAcentral.
GUAUCCUUCGGGAAACGAGUAGAGUGGCGCACGGGUGAGUAACGCGUAAAUAAUCUACCCUUAUAUUUGGGAUAACAUCGGGAAACUGGUGCUAAUACCGAAUACACUUAAGACAACGCGAGUUGAUUUAAGGAAAGGUGACCUCUUCUUGAAAGUUGCCGUAUAAGGACGAGUUUGCGUACCAUUAGCUAGUUGGUGGGGUAAAGGCUUACCAAGGCAACGAUGGUUAGCGGGUCUGAGAGGAUGAUCCGCCACACUGGAACUGGAACACGGACCAGACUCCUACGGGAGGCAGCAGUGAGGAAUAUUGCGCAAUGGGGGAAACCCUGACGCAGUGACGCCGCGUGAGUGAAGAAGGUCUUCGGGUCGUAAAGCUCUGUCAGUAGGGAAGAAAUGCUAUUAGAUUAAUACCCUAGUAGUUUGACGGUACCUACAAAGGAAGCACCGGCUAAAUCCGUGCCAGCAGCCGCGGUAAUACGGAUGGUGCGAGCGUUGUUCGGAAUCACUGGGCGUAAAGGGCGCGUAGGCGGCAUUAUAAGUCAGAUGUGAAAGUCCAGGGCUCAACCCUGGAAGUGCAUCUGAAACUGUAAAGCUUUGAGUAUUGGAGAGGAAAGUGGAAUUCCUGGUGUAGAGGUGAAAUUCGUAGAUAUCACGAGGAAUACCGGAGGCGAAGGCGACUUUCUGG